AGGCUGCUGAUAACCUUCAGGCUCUUUGAUGGGUUUCGAAAUAUUGUCUCCGGUCUUUGACCACGGAUGUACUGGCACUGCUCGUUGAGGCAAUUGAAAGGUCGGGGCUGCCCGACCUUUUUUAUU
RNAcentral lists this small RNA (126 nucleotides) under Brucella daejeonensis. Its description in RNAcentral is "Ochrobactrum daejeonense sRNA ar35". It matches the Rfam family "Alphaproteobacterial sRNA ar35". The record is from RNAcentral. Lineage: Bacteria; Pseudomonadati; Pseudomonadota; Alphaproteobacteria; Hyphomicrobiales; Brucellaceae.